RNAcentral lists this ribosomal RNA (404 nucleotides) under uncultured bacterium. Its description in RNAcentral is "bacterial SSU rRNA". It matches the Rfam family "Bacterial small subunit ribosomal RNA", at positions 355 to 776 of the family's 1533-position model. The record is from RNAcentral.
UGGGGAAUAUUGGACAAUGGGCGAAAGCCUGAUCCAGCAAUGCCGCGUGAGUGAUGAAGGCCUUAGGGUUGUAAAGCUCUUUUACCAGGGAUGAUAAUGACAGUACCUGGAGAAUAAGCUCCGGCUAACUCCGUGCCAGCAGCCGCGGUAAUACGGAGGGAGCUAGCGUUGUUCGGAAUUACUGGGCGUAAAGCGCGCGUAGGCGGCUACUCAAGUCGGGGGUGAAAGCCCGGGGCUCAACCCCGGAACUGCCCUCGAAACUAGGUAGCUAGAAUCUUGGAGAGGUCAGUGGAAUUCCGAGUGUAGAGGUGAAAUUCGUAGAUAUUCGGAAGAACACCAGUGGCGAAGGCGACUGACUGGACAAGUAUUGACGCUGAGGUGCGAAAGCGUGGGGAGCAAACAGG